AAUCAACGCUGGCGGCGUGCCUCAGACAUGCAAGUCGAACGAUUAAACUUUCCCUCGGGGAAGAUAUAGAGUGGCGCACGGGUGAGUAACACGUAAGUAAUCUACCCUUGGGUGGGGAAUAACAUCGGGAAACCGAUGCUAAUACCGCAUAAUGCAGCGGCUUCUUAUGAAGACAGUUGUUAAAGCAUUUAUGUGCCUGAGGAGGAGCUUGCGGCAGAUUAGCAGUUGGUAAGGUAAUGGCUUACCAAGGCGACGAUCUGUAGCCGACCUGAGAGGGUGGUCGGUCACACUGACACUGAAUAACGGGUCAGACUCCUACGGGAGGCAGCAGUCGGGAAUUUUGGGCAAUGGGCGCAAGCCUGACCCAGCAACGCCGCGUGAAGGAUGAAGUA
RNAcentral lists this ribosomal RNA (392 nucleotides) under uncultured bacterium. RNAcentral's name for it is "bacterial SSU rRNA". It matches the Rfam family "Bacterial small subunit ribosomal RNA", at positions 32 to 415 of the family's 1533-position model. The record is from RNAcentral.